AAACAAUGCCUUUAUUCAACUAGCCUCCCCAUUUUAAUCCUUUCAACCGAAACCUAACAUUCCUCUAAGAGCCGAUCUGCCACCAUGAACGACGACCAGCCCGUCCGAGCCUCAAAGUUAUUUUCAGCCUUAAGACCCCUUCUAUACUUCGAUUUCAAUGAAGAAGAAGAAGUUUCAUGGCGUACUUUCAAGGUUAAGUCUUAUUUCCUUCUUCCUUUUGGUUUUUUAAAUGCUAAACGAAUGACCAACAAAGAAAUAAUCGGCAGAAAAGAAACUUGAGUAAAGAAUCACCUUUAAGGAUUUUAAUAACUUUCUUUGUAUUCUAUGUGCGUGCGUAUGCGUAAGUCCUUUACAAAAAUGAAAUCGGCUCUUUUUAUAGCCGAAUAUAGGUAAAAAUAAUAAAAAGAAAAAUCUGAUUUUCCUUACUAUUUUCUGUUUUAUUUGCUGUGGCUAUUGUUAUUUGCUUCUUCUCGCAGGUUCCAUUGUACGAGGAGUGCGUACGGAGAAGAAGGCUAUUGACGCGACAAGGUCGUACGUGAGAAACCAUUUGUAAAAGCCAAGGCUGAUUGCAGCAUUGGUGUACUCUAGAAACUUCUAGGGUUUCUAGUGCUUUCACAGUGUUGGGCUUAUUUGGGCCAUUUACGAAUUGGGUUAGAUUAAAAGGUUUAGGUGUAAUGGGAUUUUGGGUUAGGGUCUUGGUGUAGGUUUAUUAAAUUUAAUAUUUGGGCCCUUAUUUUUGGAUUAAAUAAGUUGUAAAUGGACUUUUUUUAUCAGUGGACUUUUACUGUUUUUGGUUUUUUUACUUUUAUUUUGGUUUUGGUUUUUUUUAUGAGACUGGGCAAAUUGGGCAAAUUACAGCUGCCCCGCUUUGCUCAUUGUCGUGUAACAAGAAUAGAGCAAAUACUUCAAAUAAGGCCAAUUUUGCCUGUUUUUGCUAUAUUUUGUGCCCC
RNAcentral lists this long non-coding RNA (950 nucleotides) under Gossypium barbadense (sea-island cotton). RNAcentral describes it as "long non-coding RNA (GBAR_LNC011592)". Lineage: Eukaryota; Viridiplantae; Streptophyta; Magnoliopsida; Malvales; Malvaceae. The record is from RNAcentral.